This is a long non-coding RNA of Vitis riparia (riverbank grape), 535 nucleotides long. RefSeq lists it as uncharacterized. NCBI's taxonomy places the organism in Eukaryota, Viridiplantae, Streptophyta, Magnoliopsida, Vitales, Vitaceae. The record is from RefSeq and is a predicted model, not a curated record. The transcript has 4 exons.
AAGGCACUUUUAUAUCAUCAUCGUUUCCGCAGGCUCCCUAGUCUUCAUUUCUUCACUCACUUGCAGUAUUCAAAGAGGAAUGAAUCAAAAGUUCGGAGGAGGGAGGCAGCCGACUGGUACUCCUUCGUUGGCAUGGUCGUGCGUAGUUGUGAUUGUUUCGCUUCUUUCAGGCGCCUCCGUUGUCCACAACAUCUUCAAGCCGGAUCUAACAUUGCCUCCAGUGGAAACAAAGGAGAAACAGUCUGACAAAUGAUGGAUGCUUCUUUUGGCUCCUAACAACUAGAAUUCGUUUAUUUGAUGAUGUUUCAUUGCUGGGACCGUUGUCUAGAUCCAAAGAUCUUAGUUCUUUACAAAAUGCUGAAUUGCAAAUAUAGGAUGGAAUAUUGAAGAUUGGGAGUUUUGAGAAUUAGAAAUGGGUCAGCUCAAAGUUCAGAAUCGUAGCAUGUGCUGGUGAAUGGAUAUGACUCGCUUGAUCUGUUGUUCAUUGUAAUACAAAACUGAAGAACAAAAUAAAAUCUGUUAGCAGUUUCACAUA